RNAcentral lists this long non-coding RNA (270 nucleotides) under Bos indicus x Bos taurus (hybrid cattle). RNAcentral's name for it is "lncRNA (ENSBIXG00005026164.1)". The record is from RNAcentral. Lineage: Eukaryota; Metazoa; Chordata; Mammalia; Artiodactyla; Bovidae.
UCUGAUUACUUUAACCACUCAUAAUGGUCCUUUGAGUGAAGGAUGGAUACCAAGAAAAUUUGGGACCAAGCAUAAAGUCUGAGCAAACUCCAGGAGCUAGUGAAGGACAGAGAAGCCUGGCAUGCUGCAGUCCACGAGGUCGCAGAGUCAGACGCAACUUAGUGACUGAACAACAACAAAACGUGAGAGCCGCAGAGUUUGACUUAGUGUCGUAUUGUGAUUUGUAAUAAGAAAUAUUUAUUUGGUCUUUGUCCCCAUUUCUGGCACAGA